Molecule: ribosomal RNA, 515 nt
Filed under: uncultured bacterium
Lineage: Bacteria
Description: partial 16S ribosomal RNA
Rfam family: Bacterial small subunit ribosomal RNA
Source: RNAcentral
GAUGAACGCUGGCGGCGUGCCUAAUACAUGCAAGUCGAGCGAAUGGAUUAAGAGCUUGCUCUUAUGAAGUUAGCGGCGGACGGGUGAGUAACACGUGGGUAACCUGCCCAUAAGACUGGGAUAACUCCGGGAAACCGGGGCUAAUACCGGAUACCAUUUUGAACCGCAGGGUUCGAAAUUGAAAGGCGGCUUCGGCUGUCACUUAUGGAUGGACCCGGGUCGCAUUAGAUAGUUGGUGAGGUAACGGCUCACCAAGGCAACGAUGCGUAGCCGACCUGAGAGGGUGAUCGGCCACACUGGGACUGAGACACGGCCCAGACUCCUACGGGAGGCAGCAGUAGGGAAUCUUCCGCAAUGGACGAAAGUCUGACGGAGCAACGCCGCGUGAGUGAUGAAGGCUUUCGGGUCGUAAAACUCUGUUGUUAGGGAAGAACAAGUGCUAGUUGAAUAAGCUGGCACCUUGACGGUACCUAACCAGAAAGCCACGGCUAACUACGUGCCAGCAGCCGCGGUAA